This 203-nucleotide unclassified non-coding RNA is filed under the name Hevea brasiliensis (rubber tree). The record is from RNAcentral. Lineage: Eukaryota; Viridiplantae; Streptophyta; Magnoliopsida; Malpighiales; Euphorbiaceae.
UAGGGUAAGCUAAUUGUUAUUAUUGGCAAGGUGAAUGACAAUGAUGGAGAACCCAAAAUGGGACCACAUUAGUGAGAACAGUGAUGGAGGUAUGGAAUAUAAUAAUAAUGAGUAAAUGUUAGAAGGUGUGUGAUGGUAUUGUGGACUACCUAAAUAGGUAGAGAAAGAGAAGUUAGUAAGCAGUAAGUUGAAUAAAAGUCAAU